RNAcentral lists this unclassified non-coding RNA (1279 nucleotides) under Hevea brasiliensis (rubber tree). Lineage: Eukaryota; Viridiplantae; Streptophyta; Magnoliopsida; Malpighiales; Euphorbiaceae. The record is from RNAcentral.
AUUUUCCCAACAUCUGAAAUGAUAAUUUUAAGGUCAUCCAUCCAUGAUUGAACUGAAUGAAAUAUGGUAAAACACAAAUGUAACGGCAGAACAGAACAACUGAUCCACCAAGAGGGUGGGAUGCACUUAGUGGAACAUCUUACAUCCGCAACCUUUUCUCUUAUGUGUAGGGGCGGAGCUAGAAAUGAACCUGAAGUCACACUAUAUUAUCACCGGCUAAUGAACACACCGUCUGCCUUUGCUUUGUAGUCUAACAACUAGCUCGUAUUCAUCCUUGACAUGUAGUCUUGAUCUUCAUUUCUCCUAUCCAGAUCUUUCCCAUCUUGCUACAGCUUUAAAAGGAUCUCUUCACUAUCCCCGUCUUGGUGAUUUAUCGUUGAGAUACAAGCUAGCAAUAUCUACAGCCAUAAAAUUGUCCGGUUGAUGAGAAUUCUCAUCAAGAUGGAGUGGUGGCUAAUUCCUCCUUGUCACCAUUAAGCCUGAAGAAAUGGAUGAUGUAGCAGCUGAACAGCUGUCAAACGGCGACUUGGAUUCCUCUGCAGGCAAAGUUUCAAAAAACUCUUUGCAUCAUCUGAGAGGUUCCUGGGAAUUUCAGGACUGUCUUUCCCAUCUGCCUGUUUGAAUAAUGCAGCAGUUGCUCCUUCAUAUGGUCGUUUAGCUGUUGCCAUCUCAACAAUAGUACAACCUAGGCUCCAAAUAUCUACAGCAACACUGGAACCUCCUGCAUCUUUUACUACCUCUGGAGCCAUCCAAUAUGGACUUCCUUUGAAAGAAUCCAUCAAACAACACGAGUUUAUAUGUUUAGCCAUUCCAAAGUCUGCAAGCUUGAUUUCACCCUUAGCAUUUACUAGUAUAUUUGCUCCUUUAAUAUCCCUGUGUGCUAUGUUUCUCUUAUGCAAGAAGACUAAUCCGGAGAGAAUUUUUCGAGUGUAACUUUUGAUAAUUUGUUCUUCAAAAGGACCAUAUUCUUGAAGUAGUUUGAGAAUUGAACCUCCUGGAACAUACUCUAAGUAGAGUGACAAUUUAUCUCCUCUCAAUUCACUUCCAUAGUACUGCACAAUGUUUGGAUGUGAGAUUUGACUGAGCAAUGUGAUCUCCUGGUUUAGCUGCUUGAGACGUUCUUUCGAUGUUGUGUCAUUAAAAAUGAUUCUUACUUCCUUUAUAGCACACAUUUGUCCAUUAUCACUAUUAAAUCCAGCAUAAACAUUUCCAAAUGUCCCUUUUGCUAACAAUUUCCCUUUCUUCCAUUGCCUUGUUCUAUUAUUAAUAGAAGAAUUUG